RNAcentral lists this small RNA (910 nucleotides) under uncultured Rubrobacterales bacterium. Its description in RNAcentral is "bacterial SSU rRNA". The stretch from base 1 to 473 matches the Rfam family "Bacterial small subunit ribosomal RNA", at positions 1064 to 1533 of the family's 1533-position model. Lineage: Bacteria; Bacillati; Actinomycetota; Rubrobacteria; Rubrobacterales. The record is from RNAcentral.
GUCGUGAGAUGUUGGGUUAAGUCCCGCAACGAGCGCAACCCCUGCUCUGUGUUGCCAGCGGAUUAUGCCGGGGACUCACAGAGAACUGCCGGUGACAAACCGGAGGAAGGUGGGGAUGACGUCAAGUCAUCAUGCCCCUUACGUCUAGGGCUACAAACGUGCUACAAUGGCCGAUACAAAGAGCUGCAAUGCCGCGAGGCGGAGCGAAUCUCAAAAAGUCGGUCCCAGUUCGGAUUGCAGGCUGAAACUCGCCUGCAUGAAGUUGGAGUUGCUAGUAAUCGCGGAUCAGCAACGCCGCGGUGAAUACGUUCCCGGGCCUUGUACACACCGCCCGUCACACCACGGAAGCCGGAGACACCCGAAGCCCGUGGCCCAACCCGCAAGGGAGGGAGCGGUCGAAGGUGGAGUUGGUGACUGGGGUGAAGUCGUAACAAGGUAGCCGUAGCGGAAGCUGCGGCUGGAUCACCUCCUUUCUAGGGAUGCGGUGACCAUUUAUCACCGCAGGCGUCCCUGCUAGACGACGUGUCCUCCUUGGACACGGCUCCGGUGCUUCGGCACCGUGGUCUGCAGUAAGACUCGCCUGGAAUCUAUAUCGACACGGACUGCUUAGGCCGCUCGCAAGAGUGGCCGGCCUCAUGCUAUUGAGUUUUGAGAGACCGGACGUCUGUCCUUCGUGGACAGCCCGGCGAGCACUUCGGUGCUCUGCCGUCCGGGCGCUCGAGCGGGACGCAUCCCGCCGGUACCUUGAAAACUGCACAGCGGUAGAAGUGGUGUUCUCGAAUGACGGUGAGUCAUGAAUCAAGAGAACAAGGGCACACGGUGAAUGCCUUGGUACCAGGAGCCGAUGAAGGACGUUGAUGGCUGCGAUAAGCCUCGGGGAGCUGCCUAACAAGCGUUGAUCCGGGGAUUU